Non-coding RNA from Vicia faba (fava bean), 201 nucleotides. NCBI's taxonomy places the organism in Eukaryota, Viridiplantae, Streptophyta, Magnoliopsida, Fabales, Fabaceae. The record is from the annotation of a GenBank genome assembly.
AUGAGAUUUAAUAGAGAUACAAAGUCUUUCAUUACAUCUCAAUUUCUUUAUAUCUUGGUGACUAUGAGCAACAGAAUCCUCAAUAAUUGUCAUUCAAAGGCCCUAUAUGUUACCUUUAAUGUUAGGUGUGAAGCUACUGCAGAAUUAUCUUCUGAGGAAUAUUAUGUUAGUGUUGGUAAUUAUAAAUUUGGGCUUUCUUAG